CCGAAGUCGAUGUUUUCGCUAUUUAGAAAUUGGACUAUCAACCCGUUUGCGCUUGUCUUGGACAACUGGAUCUACACGUAUCUGACGCCACAGUGAAAAAAAAAUUACCACGAUUGUCAUCAAAGAGAGCCAAAUGAUCAGAAAGCAAUCCUCAGUUGGCUUCGAUCCCGUUUCUGGCAGCAAUUAGGCCGCCAGAUCGUCAAAUUGGAGUUGUAGUGGUUUCAUCUGUGGAGCAAAACAUCCAAAAUGGAUUAAUCACACAAAAGGCACUUGAGAGAGCAAAGGGGGCAUGCUGGGAGCCGAUCGGGAUGGAUAAGGACUCUGUUAUGCCACUGGCGCACAGUAUUUCACCAAGGUAUCUGCCGCACACGAGACGUGUGUCUUCUGGCAGGAUGGCCAAAGAAGAAGACAAAAGCUGCCCAGUAACACGAGGUUUUUAUAUGUAUGGGUCCAUGUUUGAAGUGGCUACCCCCCACCCCCGCAGUCUGAUCCUGGGCCGGAAUGGUAACUUUCCGUUCCUUAUCUGGUGUCGUUCAUCUCCACGGCAACGCCUGGGAUAGGAGGAUGACACCAGCCGGUUUUCUGCGUACAAAGAUCAAGGACAACCACCAGCUCCACAAUACAUCCUUGUCUGAUUAGCAA
Molecule: long non-coding RNA, 642 nt
Organism: Syngnathoides biaculeatus (alligator pipefish)
Lineage: Eukaryota; Metazoa; Chordata; Actinopteri; Syngnathiformes; Syngnathidae
Exons: 4
Source: RefSeq, a predicted model, not a curated record